Molecule: ribosomal RNA, 422 nt
Filed under: uncultured bacterium
Lineage: Bacteria
Description: bacterial SSU rRNA
Rfam family: Bacterial small subunit ribosomal RNA
Source: RNAcentral
CCUACGGGAGGCAGCAGUGGGGAAUCUUGGACAAUGGGGGCAACCCUGAUCCAGCCAUGCCGCGUGAGUGACGAAGGCCCUAGGGUCGUAAAGCUCUUUCAGCUGUGAAGAUAAUGACGGUAGCAGCAGAAGAAACCCCGGCUAACUCCGUGCCAGCAGCCGCGGUAAUACGGAGGGGGUUAGCGUUGUUCGGAAUUACUGGGCGUAAAGCGCGCGUAGGCGGACUGUUAAGUCAGAGGUGAAAUCCCGGGGCUCAACCCCGGAACUGCCUUUGAUACUGGCAGUCUCGAGUUCUGGAGAGGUGAGUGGAAUUCCGAGUGUAGAGGUGAAAUUCGUAGAUAUUCGGAGGAACACCAGUGGCGAAGGCGGCUCACUGGCCAGACACUGACGCUGAGGCGCGAAAGCGUGGGGAGCAAACAGGA